GCCUGCCCCGCGUUGUUCAAAGAGAAGUAUUGAUUAAACUGCAGCAGAAGCUGCUGUGCAAACACAUCCUGCUGGUGUCCCGGCACACGGGGAAAAUUUGGAAGGGUUAAAUGUGAAGACAGCAACUCUCGGUAGUUGCUAGGAGACGAUGUCCUGCCGGUGGCAUCACGCAUCAGCCCGUGACAGCCUGUUCCACCCGAGCAGUAAUCUGGUGAGUCACCAGUUGUGCUGCAUAUACCAUCACUGGGCACGGAGGAAGCAGCUCCCACCCCAAGAGAAUACAAUACAACAUCAUGCAGUUCUGUCAAGGAGGACAAGGUAAUAUGGAGCUCAAGAGCUACUUCUCCCAUGAGAGCUGCAGAGCCUUCUCCAUCAUUGGUCCUUCUAUAGUCAUUCCACAGUUGACCUACCUGAAGUUUUACUUCAAAAAGUGGAUGGACUGUUGCAACUGAUUCUGCAAAUUAUCUUAUUUCAAAUCAGUCUAUUUAAUCAUGGAUCAAG
This 501-nucleotide long non-coding RNA is filed under the name Anser brachyrhynchus (Pink-footed goose). RNAcentral describes it as "lncRNA (ENSABRG00000019956.1)". The record is from RNAcentral. Lineage: Eukaryota; Metazoa; Chordata; Aves; Anseriformes; Anatidae.